GAUGAACGCUGGCGGCGUGCCUAAUACAUGCAAGUCGAGCGGACAGAUGGGAACUUGCUCCCGGAAGUCAGCGGCGGACGGGUGAGUAACACGUGGGCAACCUGCCUGUAAGACUGGGAUAACUUCGGGAAACCGGAGCUAAUACCGGAAACGUUCUUUUCUCGCAUGAGAGAAGAUGGAAAGAUGGUUUCGGCUACCACUUAAAGAUGGGCCCGCGGCGCAUUAGCUAGUUGGUGAGGUAAUGGCUCACCAAGGCGACGAUUCGUAGCCGACCUGAGAGGGUGAUCGGCCACACUGGGACUGAGACACGGCCCAGACUCCUACGGGAGGCAGCAGUAGGGAAUCUUCCGCAAUGGACGAAAGUCUGACGGAGCAACGCCGCGUGAACGAUGAAGGCCUUCGGGUCGUAAAGUUCUGUUGUUAGGGAAGAACAAGUACCAGAGUAACUGCUGGUACCUUGACGGUACCUAACCAGAAAGCCACGGCUAACUACGUGCCAGCCGCCGCAGUAA
Molecule: ribosomal RNA, 512 nt
Filed under: uncultured bacterium
Lineage: Bacteria
Description: partial 16S ribosomal RNA
Rfam family: Bacterial small subunit ribosomal RNA
Source: RNAcentral